Long non-coding RNA from Mauremys reevesii (Reeves's turtle), 383 nucleotides. RefSeq lists it as uncharacterized. The transcript is spliced from 2 exons. NCBI's taxonomy places the organism in Eukaryota, Metazoa, Chordata, Testudines, Geoemydidae. The record is from RefSeq and is a predicted model, not a curated record.
CAUUGUGGGAUGUGCGAUAUCAGGCUGCAGGGGAAGGCAGGCAGCAGGAGCUCGGAGAGAAUCUGGAUUUGUUACAACCGUCCAUCUGUGAUGGGGGAAAAAGGAUGUGGGAAAAGCCUCGCUUAGUUUAACAGGGCCGUAUUUCCAUGCAUAUCACACACAAUUGUCUCAGCACCCAGCAUGGAGCCCUCCCUCAAGCAAAGCCACCUUGAAGUCAAUGCAUCAUGUGUUCAGGAUGCAGCCCAGUUAGAUCCGUCAGCCUGGUCAGAGAUCCACACUGCACAGCCACAGCACCCGGCCUGAGCUACAAUCACAGAUCCGUUUGCUGUCUGCAUUCCCAGAAGAAAGAAUAAAGUUAAAACAUCUGUUAAUUUAUAAACCAA